AUGCACACAGUCGCAUUUAAGGGUUAUGAAAAUCUGGAAGAUGUUGUCGCUCGCCCAACUUCUUCCAAAUCCAUGCUUACCGAGUACUUUGAGAUGAACAAGAAGUAUCCAGCGGCACGAAAAUGGCUGUACAAAGAGUUCCCAGAACAUUAUAGGUGGAUUGCCGCUAAUAAAAAGUGGCAAACGAGAAGAAGUAAGAGAUCACAGAUUGGAAGACUGGUGUAUGCACACCCUGCUGAAGGAGAGAGGUACUACUUGCGGGUGCUCCUAAGUCAUGUCCGAGGUGCCACUUCAUUUGAUGAUUUGAAAACAGUAAAUGGCAAGCCAUGCACUUCCUUCAGAGAGGCAUGUGAGCACUUAGGCCUCAUUGAGCAUGACAGGACACUGGAUGAUUUCAUGACGGAGGCAACAACAUUUCAAAUGCCUUCUGCUCUUAGACGGUUGUUUGCGACUAUACUGGUAUUCUGUGAGGCAACACAAAUCCGUCAAUUGUGGGACAAACAUCUACCAUCGAUGGCUGAAGAUUACCGCCGCACUGAGUCAAAUGAGGCAACACUUGAGCAGAUGGUCCUUAGAGAUGUCAGGGAUCUGGUGCAAUCCAUGGGUAAGGAUAUUAAAAUGUAUGGACUUCCAGAUCUGGUUGACACAGAUGGUUCUUCUGACGCCGAGUAUAGAGAGGUAACGGAGGAGAGACAAGUUAGAGUUGACCAAGAGCAUCUAGAUCUAUUUAGCUGUUUGAACAGUGAACAACUGGAUGGUUUCAACGACAUAAUGGAUCAUGUGACGAACCAAAAAAGCCAAAUAUUUUUUGUUGAUGGUCCAGGAGGCACUGGGAAGACGUACCUGUACAAGGCGUCCUUGAUAAUUUGGGAUGAAGUUGCUAUGACAAAGCGUCAAGCAGUUGAGACGCUUGACAGAUCGCUACAAGAUAUAAUGGAAUGUCCUCUGCCGUUUGGUGGAAAGGUUGUUAUCUUUGGUGGGGAUUUCAGGCAGGUCCUCCCUGUUGUUACACGAGGGACAAGAGCAUAG
Molecule: ribosomal RNA, 1029 nt
Filed under: Triticum aestivum (bread wheat)
Lineage: Eukaryota; Viridiplantae; Streptophyta; Magnoliopsida; Poales; Poaceae
Description: partial small subunit ribosomal RNA
Source: RNAcentral